Molecule: non-coding RNA, 135 nt
Organism: Triticum aestivum (bread wheat)
Lineage: Eukaryota; Viridiplantae; Streptophyta; Magnoliopsida; Poales; Poaceae
Source: Rfam
AUAAUACUCCCUCCGUCCCAUAAUUCUUGUCUUAGAUUUGUAUAAAUACGGAUGUAUCAAGUCAUGUUUUAGUAUUAGAUACAUUCGUAUCUAGACAAAUCUAAGACAAGAAUUUUGGGACGGAGGGGGUAGCAU